This 2320-nucleotide long non-coding RNA is filed under the name Heterocephalus glaber (naked mole-rat). Its description in RNAcentral is "lncRNA (ENSHGLG00100051458.1)". The record is from RNAcentral. Lineage: Eukaryota; Metazoa; Chordata; Mammalia; Rodentia; Bathyergidae.
CUCUGUUCUCAUCCCACUGAAAAAACAACCCGCACCGCAGCUGGAAGGUCUGGGUGUCGUUUAUUGACAGCGGUUUACACAGAUUUAUUUUCUUCCCAUGAUUGAUUCCUCUGGGGCCCAGGAACGUGGGAUGCGCGUCUUUGGCUGGCCCAGCGGCCGGCAGGAUGUGAUCCUUCAAGCUGGAAUUCCACCGGGCAUUGGAGCCGGAAGACUCCAGCAGGACGCACCUGGGGCCAGGUCUCCUCUUGGCUCCCUAUCCAAGUCCAUCCUGGUUUUAGGACCUUGGGGGACAGCAGAGCCAGGCCCACCCACCUCAAAAGGGGCAGAUUCCUUGGCUGUGCAGGAAUUGCCCACCCUCUCGGCCACUGUCCUGGAAUCUUCACUGACAGGAUGGAGGCCAGGAGAGCGACCCCGCUGGUCACCAUCGCCCUGCCCUUCUGCCAGCUGCCGGGCCCCAGGCUGGGGCACCCACAAGCCCUGAGCCGCUCUGCACAGGCACUUGGCAGUUUCUGGUAGGGAGGUGGAUACAAAGGUGGAUACGGGAGGAACAAAAGACCUUCCUUGGAUAAUCAUCGGGCUAAAGUGAUUUUAGCUUUAUUUCCGUCACUUCGGGUCAAUCAUGAAGUGUCACAGUGAUUCAUUUUGGGGGUGGGGGCGGAAGGGAAGGCGCCUCCGGCCCGGCUCACUGGGGCAGCUGCAGGAGCACCGACUGCCCGGCCGGCAGGUAGGUGAUGUUUCGAGGGCGAGACAGCUGGUAGGCGAUGUCCUCGGCGGCCUCCAGCUUGCGCAGCUCGAUCAGGCCGUCGCCCGAGGUGGCCAGCGAGUUAGCGAUCAGCUCAGCCGCCUUGGGUCGCCCUCGGCGGAGAUGAUGGCUGCCUUCUUCUGCUGCUCAGCCUAAAGGAGCGGAGGUGAGAGAGACGGAGACCCCAGCAGGGGCCCUGGCUGCCAGUCCUCUUUCCUCAGCCGCUUCUCAGCACUGCAGGGAUGAGCUCUCAGGGGCUGCACAAACAGCCAUCGUAGCCAGGCACCGUGCCACACACCUCUAAUCCCAGCACUUGGGAGGCUGAGGCAGGGGGAUCGUCACGAGUUCGAGACCAGCCUGGGCUACCAUCUCAAACACCAAAAUCAAAGCAAUUCUCAGGGUCGUCAUUCCCUCUCACCCCAAGUCAAAACAGUUUCCAUGAAAAGCAAGCAGGACUGGGCUGGGGGUGUGGCUGAGUGGUAGAGCACAUCCCCAGCAUUCAUGAGGCCCUGGGUUCCAGCCCCAGCCCCAUGAACAGGCCCAAAGCGACGAGAGGCUAAAGAAGAGCAGUGUAGGCCUGGACACUGGGCUGUUCUCUGAGCAGGCACCUAGAUAAGGCCUCCUUGGCCUGCUGGCCAGUACCAUACAAUAAUCCCUGGGCCACGAUGGCCUUCAUUGCGUGGGACAGGAGUACGACGCGGAACAGCUCUGAAACGCACACACAAUCCUCUUUUUUGUUGUUUUAGUGCUACAAGUCUAACCUUGCACUGCUAGGCAAGCGCUCUACCACCCGAACCACAUCCCGCUGUCUGUCUACUCUCCCGAUAGGAGACUGCACUGAGCAACACCAGGGGAGUGCUGGGCUGGUCACAGGCCCCAGGGACGUGGCAGGCACACAUGGAGCUCACAGUCUCCACAGUCCGAUCUCUCCCUCUUCUCCCUGAUCUGAAGGCUUACAAGGUCUUGGAUUAGGAACACUAGCGUGGGGGAGAGAGACAGCAAAUAAAUCCACCUCUAUAAGUAAGGGGAAGACCAGGUUGCCCAAAAAUACACUGUGUUCCAUGACACUCAGACACAUCUGGAUGGGUUUAGCCCAGGAAAAAAAUCUGGGGACAAUAAGCACAUCUGGUGCACCAUUUGAUCUUUUUUGCUGUCAGCUUUCACUAUGGAACCAUGGUUAAAAAUGACUUCUCAGUGGAGCUAAAAGUCUUCCAGGAGUAACAUUUUCAUGUGGAGGAGAGUUUUUGAUCUUGGGCAAGUGGGAAGAAAAUGACCCUUCACGUGUCCCUGAUGAGCCCCCUAAGACUCUGGAACCGAUUGCAGGAGUGCAGCUCUUUCACCCCCCUUCCAACGAUCCCGGAAGGAGAGAUGACAGAUGAUGAAUUUCCAGGCCACCCAGCAGACGGGGGGAGCCGAGCAAGGGCGCAUGGGAGAGGGGUCCGCCAUCUGGCCAGGCACUCACCUUCUCCACUACGAAUCUGGCCCUCUCUGCUUCCUGCUGGGCCACCUGUUUGGCUUCCACAGCUUCUGUGAACUCUUUCCCGAAGGUCAGAUGUGUCUGAGGGGAGAGAGCUUGGG